This 564-nucleotide long non-coding RNA is filed under the name Nicotiana benthamiana. RNAcentral's name for it is "long non-coding RNA (NBEN_LNC015277)". Lineage: Eukaryota; Viridiplantae; Streptophyta; Magnoliopsida; Solanales; Solanaceae. The record is from RNAcentral.
UCGGAUGGAAACAAAUUUGCCUGGAAACUUUGAAACCACUACCUCGAACUGGCCGACGACCACGACCACGAACAUGAACAUGGACGACACAGAUUGGACGAACUGGACCACGGAUUGGACGACGAACUGAACGAGCUAGACGACGAACUGUUUGGAGGACGACGAUGGACGAAGCUGGUUGGGGGUUGAGGUUGACGACGAUGGAAGGGUCGUUUGGGCUUGGAGAUAAAUGUGAGGGCUGGAGGGUUUGCUGCUGGUUCAUGACGGGAAGAAGGGAGACGAUGCCAUAGAGGCUGGUCGACGGAGCUGCUGGAACUGGGGUGAUCGUUGGGGAUGACUGGCGGCAACCAUGGAUGUUGAUAGUGGUGUUGGGAUGGUGAACGACUAGAAGGAGGGGCUCAUUUGGAGCUGGUGAUUGGCUGGAAAGGGUGGUAGUUCAUGAAAGUUGAAGGCAACCAUGGAUGUAGAGCUUGGAGGUUUGUAGGGUUGAAGGAGAUAGGGUUUUGUUUGGAAAAGAUGGAGAGAAGGUGGCUGAUGGGUUUUCUAGGGUUUGGGUGUUUUAGG